CGGCGGACGGGUGAGUAACGCGUGGGUAACCUGCCUCAUACAGGGGGAUAACAGUUAGAAAUGACUGCUAAUACCGCAUAAGACCACGGUACCGCAUGGUACAGUGGUAAAAACUCCGGUGGUAUGAGAUGGACCCGCGUCUGAUUAGGUAGUUGGUGGGGUAACGGCCUACCAAGCCGACGAUCAGUAGCCGACCUGAGAGGGUGACCGGCCACAUUGGGACUGGGACACGGCCCAG
This 238-nucleotide ribosomal RNA is filed under the name uncultured bacterium. Its description in RNAcentral is "partial 16S ribosomal RNA". It matches the Rfam family "Bacterial small subunit ribosomal RNA", at positions 96 to 334 of the family's 1533-position model. The record is from RNAcentral.